This is a non-coding RNA of Lactuca sativa (garden lettuce), 772 nucleotides long. The record is from RefSeq and is a predicted model, not a curated record. Lineage: Eukaryota; Viridiplantae; Streptophyta; Magnoliopsida; Asterales; Asteraceae.
UUAUUUUUAUUUGGUAAAAAAAAAGUCUCCUCUUUCUAACAUAUAAAAAUCAAAACAAAAAUGAUUAUCAAUGAAGUUGAAACUGAACUCCAUUUUAACGCGCACACACGCUAGUCUACUCGUUAGGGACUCUGGUUUUUCAAUCAGUUUACUUCGCAAAUUCUAAAACAGAAACGCUUUCACACAUGCAUCUUCCUGGAUUAAUCAUCACAAGAUUCGUCAAUAGUGUUCUUCGAGAUGCAGCGACUUUGAGUUCGAGCAAUUUCUGAUAUAAUAAUCCUGAACUUUGCUCGAAUUUCAUGUGUAUAUAACAACAAAAUCCAACACAACUCGUUAGAAAUCGGAGAUCUGAUCGAGAUUCGUUUUCUUGGUGUGAAGAAAGUCUCAAAGACGCAAGCAACCUGUUCGAUGAAAUGCCUCAAUGACAAAGGAUUUACUGAACACUUUUCGUCAUUGGAGGUAGGGAUGUGCGCGAUGCAGUUUAGAGUCAAAACUACAAACCGCAUCGCAUAUGCAGUUUGAAUAUUUUAGAAACUGCCAACCGCACCAUAGAUGUUCAAAAUCACGUUAUGCGGUGCAGUUUGAUGCGGAUGGGUUAUGCGGUUUGGUUGUUGUUUGGUUGUUGUUUGUGCGGUUUGAUGAGUUGUUCAACAUUAAAUCUAUCAAAAAACCAAAAAACUGAUCAGGUUAAAAAAAAUUGAUUGCUUUUAUUUUAUAAAAACAAAUACAAUUUUCGAGUUAAAUCGUUUUUAAUAAAUUGUGAUUCAUGCUA